AUCGAACGCUGGCGGCAGGCCUAACACAUGCAAGUCGAGCGAGCGGCGGACGGGUGAGUAAUGUAUGGGGACUGCCCGUUAGAGGGCGAUAACUACUGGAAACGGUAGCUAAUACCGCAUACUAUCGGAUAACCCAUAUGGGAUUAGCUAGUAGGUGAGGUAAUGGCUCACCAAGGCGACGAUCCCUCGCUGGUCUGAGAGGAUGAUCAGCCACACUGGGACUGAGACACGGCCCAGACUCCUACGGAGGCAGCAGUGGGGAAUAUUGCACAAUGGGGGAAAGCCUGAUGCAGCCAUGCCGCGUGUAUGAAGAAGGCCUUAGGGUUGUAAAGUACUUUCAGUCGGGAGGCGUUACCGACAGAAGAAGCACCGGCUAACUCCGUGCCAGCAGCCGCGGUAAUAC
This 403-nucleotide ribosomal RNA is filed under the name uncultured bacterium. RNAcentral's name for it is "partial 16S ribosomal RNA". It matches the Rfam family "Bacterial small subunit ribosomal RNA", at positions 30 to 526 of the family's 1533-position model. The record is from RNAcentral.